AGAGUUUGAUCCUGGCUCAGAAUGAACGCUGGCGGCGUGCUUAACACAUGCAAGUCGUGCGAGGCGGAAGGGGCAACUCUUCCAGUCGAGCGGCGGACGGGUGAGUAACACGUGGGCAAUCUGCCCGAAAGUGGGGAAUACCCCAGGGAAACUUGGGCUAAUACCGCAUGACAUCGCGAUCUCGAGAGAGGAUGCGAUCAAAGGGGGGCCGCAAGGUCUCUCACUUUCGGAGGAGCCCGCGCCCGAUUAGCUAGUUGGCGGGGUAACGGCCCACCAAGGCUUCGAUCGGUAGCCGGCCUGAGAGGGUGAUCGGCCACACCGGAACUGAGACACGGUCCGGACUCCUACGGGAGGCAGCAGUGGGGAAUCUUGCGCAAUGGGCGAAAGCCUGACGCAGCAACGCCGCGUGGAGGAUGAAGGUCCUUGGAUUGUAAACUCCUGUCGGCCGGGAAGAAGUUCAUCGGGGCUCAUACCCCCGGUGAUUGACUGUACCGGCAAAGGAAGCCCCGGCUAACUCUGUGCCAGCAGCCGCGGUAAUACAGAGGGGGCAAGCGUUAUUCGGAAUUAUUGGGCGUAAAGGGCGCGUAGGCGGCCUGUCAAGUCUCUCGUGAAAUCCCUCGGCUUAACUGAGGACCUGCGGGAGAUACUGUCGGGCUGGAGUCCGGAAGAGGGUGGUGGAAUUCCCAGUGUAGCGGUGAAAUGCGUAGAUAUUGGGAGGAACACCGGUGGCGAAAGCGGCCACCUGGGCCGGAACUGACGCUGAGGCGCGAAAGCGUGGGGAGCAAACGGGAUUAGAUACCCCGGUAGUCCACGCCGUAAACGAUGGGCACUUGGUGUCGCGGGUAUCGACCCCUGCGGUGCCGAAGCUAACGCAUUAAGUGCCCCGCCUGGGGAGUACGGUCGCAAGGCUGAAACUCAAAGGAAUUGACGGGGGCCCGCACAAGCGGGUGGGAGCAUGGUGGUUCAA
Molecule: ribosomal RNA, 967 nt
Filed under: uncultured bacterium
Lineage: Bacteria
Description: bacterial SSU rRNA
Rfam family: Bacterial small subunit ribosomal RNA
Source: RNAcentral